CUGGCGGCAGGCCUAACACAUGCAAGUCGAGCGCGAAAGCACUUCGGUGUGAGUAGAGCGGCGGACGGGUGAGUAACGCGUAGGAAUCUACCUAGUAGUGGGGGACAACUCGGGGAAACUCGAGCUAAUACCGCAUAAGCCCUACGGGGGAAAGCGGGGGACCUUCGGGCCUCGUGCUAUUAGAUGAGCCUGCGUUGGAUUAGCUAGUUGGUGGGGUAAAGGCCUACCAAGGCGACGAUCCAUAGCUGGUCUGAGAGGAUGAUCAGCCACACCGGGACUGAGACACGGCCCGGACUCCUACGGGAGGCAGCAGUGGGGAAUAUUGCGCAAUGGGCGAAAGCCUGACGCAGCCAUGCCGCGUGUGUGAAGAAGGCCUUCGGGUUGUAAAGCACUUUCAAUUGGGAGGAAAGGUUCACGGUUAAUAACCGUGAGCUGUGACGUUACCUUUAGAAGAAGCACCGGCUAA
Molecule: ribosomal RNA, 466 nt
Filed under: uncultured Gammaproteobacteria bacterium
Lineage: Bacteria; Pseudomonadati; Pseudomonadota; Gammaproteobacteria
Description: bacterial SSU rRNA
Rfam family: Bacterial small subunit ribosomal RNA
Source: RNAcentral